Molecule: ribosomal RNA, 438 nt
Filed under: Wolbachia endosymbiont of Aphis gossypii
Lineage: Bacteria; Pseudomonadati; Pseudomonadota; Alphaproteobacteria; Rickettsiales; Anaplasmataceae
Description: bacterial SSU rRNA
Rfam family: Bacterial small subunit ribosomal RNA
Source: RNAcentral
CAUACCUAUUCGAAGGGAUAGGGUCGGCUCGGCCGGAUUUUACACAAGUGUUGCAUGGCUGUCGUCAGCUCGUGUCGUGAGAUGUUGGGUUAAGUCCCGCAACGAGCGCAACCCUCAUCCUUAGUUGCCAUCAGGUAAUGCUGAGUACUUUAAGGAAACUGCCAGUGAUAAGCUGGAGGAAGGUGGGGUUGAUGUCAAGUCAUCAUGGCCUUUAUGGAGUGGGCUACACACGUGCUACAAUGGUGUCUACAAUGGGUUGCAAGGUGCGCAAGGCUAAGCUAAUCCCUAAAAGACAUCUCAGUUCGGAUUGUACUCUGCAACUCGAGUACAUGAAGUUGGAAUCGCUAGUAAUCGUGGAUCAGCAUGCCACGGUGAAUACGUUCUCGGGUCUUGUACACACUGCCCGUCACGCCAUGGGAAUUGGUUUCACUCGAAGCU